This is a long non-coding RNA of Hemibagrus wyckioides, 490 nucleotides long. RefSeq lists it as uncharacterized. The record is from RefSeq and is a predicted model, not a curated record. Lineage: Eukaryota; Metazoa; Chordata; Actinopteri; Siluriformes; Bagridae. The transcript is spliced from 3 exons.
CAGUGCCAUCCUUCUGUUCAUCAUUAGACUCAAUACAGACGCUAAAGUCUUAUUCCACUAAAGCUUGUGUUCAGCAGUGGGAUUAAACUAAAGAUCUUCAGUACGACCCGGUUGAAAUCUUCUGAUUGGUCCGCAAAUACGUAAUGUCCUGCCCCUCUGAUGACCUACGAGGCAGUAUGAGGAAGCUUCAGUAGAUGUCUCCUGAUGAAUCUGAGGGAUGGAGGAGUGAUCAGCUUCAGGAGUGAAAUAGUCCGAAUGUUCUGCCAUCUCAUUUCAUUUCCUUUAGGAAUAAUUUACAAGAUUUAUUUGGGAUCUGGGUUUAGGAUUUUGGAUGUUAUUUGAUUGAUCGGUUUGUAAAGCGAGUGUUCCUCAAGGCUCUGUUCUAUGUUAAAUCAAGCUGUCAUGUAAUCAGAGAAGUCGACAAGGGUGUGUGUUUAAACAGUCCUGAAACACAAGGUGGAUUUUCAGAUGAAUUUUCUGGACUCACGAU